Molecule: long non-coding RNA, 347 nt
Organism: Girardinichthys multiradiatus
Lineage: Eukaryota; Metazoa; Chordata; Actinopteri; Cyprinodontiformes; Goodeidae
Exons: 3
Source: RefSeq, a predicted model, not a curated record
CAGAGAGAGGAAUGCUGACACAUCUCAUUUUAGCAGUGGUUAGCCUCGUGUUACAGCCAAUCAUUUAAGCAAGGCAUCAAACAGAUGACUGAAGGCUGCAGCAGCUCUGAACACAUCAGAGAUGGAUUUUAUGAAGCACAUGGAUCAUUUUGAAAGUACUGACCUGGCAUCCAGUAGAGGAGAUCGGAGGUGGGAAAAAGGAGCUCUGAAUGAACGCUUCUGGAAAGGAAUUACUCUCUUUAACCUGCAGAAGCUCAUCUCCAGCGACUCUCCUCCAUCCUGAGCGCUGCCUGGAUGCGGACCAGCCGCAUGAAUCCGACUCAAAAGAGCAGUACGAGCCAAAGGGG